GCAUCGGUGGUUCAGUGGUAGAAUUCUCGCCUGCCACGCGGGAGGCCCGGGUUUGAUUCCCGGCCGAUGCA
Hemiscyllium ocellatum (epaulette shark) is the source of this 71-nucleotide non-coding RNA. The record is from the annotation of a RefSeq genome assembly. NCBI's taxonomy places the organism in Eukaryota, Metazoa, Chordata, Chondrichthyes, Orectolobiformes, Hemiscylliidae.